Molecule: ribosomal RNA, 252 nt
Filed under: Protula sp. SC-2016
Lineage: Eukaryota; Metazoa; Annelida; Polychaeta; Sabellida; Serpulidae
Description: partial 28S ribosomal RNA
Rfam family: Eukaryotic large subunit ribosomal RNA
Source: RNAcentral
CGGGGAAAGAAGACCCUGUUGAGCUUGACUCUAGUCUGACUCUGUGAAGAGACACGGAAGGUGUAGCAUAAGUGGGAGCCUUGGCGCAAUUGAAAUACCACUACUCCCGUCGUUUCUUUACUUAUUCAGUGAGACGGGGGACGUGCAUGCAGAUGCACAGACUUCUGGCGUUAAAGGACAGUCUUCGGACUGACUUGACCCGCUCUGAAGACAGUGUCAGGCGGGGAGUUUGACUGGGGCGGUACAUCUAUC